This 612-nucleotide ribosomal RNA is filed under the name Staphylococcus sp. Its description in RNAcentral is "bacterial SSU rRNA". It matches the Rfam family "Bacterial small subunit ribosomal RNA", at positions 42 to 636 of the family's 1533-position model. The record is from RNAcentral. Lineage: Bacteria; Bacillati; Bacillota; Bacilli; Caryophanales; Staphylococcaceae.
GCGUGCCUAAUACUGCAAGUCGAGCGAACAGAUAAGGAGCUUGCUCCUUUGACGUUAGCGGCGGACGGGUGAGUAACACGUGGAUAACCUACCUAUAAGACUGGGAUAACUUCGGGAAACCGGAGCUAAUACCGGAUAAGAUUUUGAACCGCAUGGUUCAAUAGUGAAAGACGGCCUUGCUGUCACUUAUAGAUGGAUCCGCGCCGUAUUAGCUAGUUGGUAAGGUAACGGCUUACCAAGGCAACGAUACGUAGCCGACCUGAGAGGGUGAUCGGCCACACUGGAACUGAGACACGGUCCAGACUCCUACGGGAGGCAGCAGUAGGGAAUCUUCCGCAAUGGGCGAAAGCCUGACGGAGCAACGCCGCGUGAGUGAUGAAGGUCUUCGGAUCGUAAAACUCUGUUAUCAGGGAAGAACAAACGUGUAAGUAACUGUGCACGUCUUGACGGUACCUGAUCAGAAAGCCACGGCUAACUACGUGCCAGCAGCCGCGGUAAUACGUAGGUGGCAAGCGUUAUCCGGAAUUAUUGGGCGUAAAGCGCGCGUAGGCGGUUUUUUAAGUCUGAUGUGAAAGCCCACGGCUCAACCCUUGGAGGGUCUUUGGAAACUGG